This 872-nucleotide long non-coding RNA is filed under the name Anser brachyrhynchus (Pink-footed goose). RNAcentral describes it as "lncRNA (ENSABRG00000019542.1)". Lineage: Eukaryota; Metazoa; Chordata; Aves; Anseriformes; Anatidae. The record is from RNAcentral.
UUUAAAAGGAAUCAUUUUAUUUGUUAAACAACUUUGUACCUGAACAUCAGGACAAUAAGAAAACAAUUCUGUUAAUUGAUGCUUUAAUGCUGUUAUAGAAAUGGCACCUGUAUUUCUGGAAACAGCACGUUAGCAAGGCAAUCAACAUUUCCUCCUUUAUGCAAGUAAUACUGCAAUAGUCUGUGAUCUCUUUGACCAUUUUUGGAAUGAUUUUCAGUACAGAAAGCAAAGUUGCUUUGGGAGAGGGGGAGUGAGGAAAAAUUAGGUAGAGAGGAAAUUAUCUAUUAGUUCUGCAGUUUGAUUCUGUUUUCUACUUUCUCCCAAAGGAAAUCUGUAACUUUCUUUCCUGUCUGUGUGGAACUGGGUAUGAAAACAAGCAGAGGGACAGGCCGCAUCAUGGAGGGCAGCAAGCAGGAUCGGGCUCACAUGUUGUGGAGGACGGGAGGCAGACGCAAGCUGACAAGAAAAUGGCUGACAAGAAAAUCUACCCAAGAGGCAAAGAAGCUACUAUUAUGAACACACAAUGGGACCAAAGAUACUUCUUUAAUUAGUCUAACUGAAGAAAACAAUCAAUAAUGGUUGAACUGGUGCUAGAAAUUAUGUCAGAGAAAGAUGAAAGGUACUCUGAAGCACUUGAACAUUUAACUCACAGUGGAGAAAUACCGCCCAGUUUCUACUCAACAUCUUCGUUAGCCACUUGGUUUAAAAGAUUCUGGCCACUGCAUGAGAACUGGCAUUCAAGAAUGGCUCCUUCUGGUUCCAGAGUCCCAGAGGCUCUCAGCCUGCCACUGAGCAAGAGCUUAGAUCUCUUGUUCAGCCACCAGGAACACACUGCCCAAACUGCUGCUCUGCCCCAUCUCAGGAGCCACUAA